RNAcentral lists this ribosomal RNA (467 nucleotides) under uncultured bacterium. RNAcentral describes it as "partial 16S ribosomal RNA". It matches the Rfam family "Bacterial small subunit ribosomal RNA", at positions 28 to 507 of the family's 1533-position model. The record is from RNAcentral.
GACGAACGCUGGCGGCGUGCCUAACACAUGCAAGUCGAACGGAAAGGCCAUGCUUUUGUGGGGUGCUCGUGUGGCGAACGGGUGAGUAACACGUGAGUAAACUGCCCUUGUCUUUGGGAUAACUUCAGGAAACUGGGGCUAAUAUCGGAUAGGAGCUCCUGCUGCAUGGGGGGGGUUGGAAAGUUUCGGCGGUUUGGGUUGGUCUCGCGGCUUAUGCGCUUGUUGGUGGGGUAGUGGCUUACCAAGGCUUGGACGGGUAGCCGGCCUGGAAGGGUGACCGGCUCCAGAGUGCUACGGGAGGGACCAGACUCCUACGGUAGGCAGCAGUGGGGAAUAUUGCACAAUGGGCGGAAGCCUGAGGCAGCAACGCCGCGUGCGUGAUGACGGCCUUCGGGUUGUAAACCGCUUUCGCCUGUGACGAAGCGUGAUUGACGGUAAUGGGUAAAGAAGCACCGGCUAACUACGUG